GUACUAAAAUAUAAAUAUGAAGUGAGAGUAGGUUAUAUUAGUUUUUCAAUUUAAUUGAUUAUUCUUUACAUGUGUCUCAAUUGUUUCAGCCAUUUAUCGACUUAAAAACUCCAGAGGAAUCAAAAAAGGAGACGGCACGAUCCUCUAAACGUGCAAAAAAGUUGCGAUAGGCCUUCAGAAGAAUACCUUAUGUUCGCUGUUAGUGUUGAUGUACUAUCAGAGCACGUAUUUGACGUAGUAUUGAUGUGCUUUUUCAAUGCUAUUGACUGAGACGUCAAGUGAGAUUUCAUCCUUCAGUUUGCAGUUAUAGAGCAUUUCUCCACUGCUCGACGAAAAAUAGAUAAAUGAGCAAUAUAAUUUUUGUUUGGAAUGAUGUAUAGAAUAUUCAGCCCUGCAUUCAGAUUUGGGGUUCAAUCCAUUGUCAAUAUAUUUUAGCAUGCUUUGCUAUUC
This is a non-coding RNA of Vigna umbellata (rice bean), 450 nucleotides long. The record is from RefSeq and is a predicted model, not a curated record. NCBI's taxonomy places the organism in Eukaryota, Viridiplantae, Streptophyta, Magnoliopsida, Fabales, Fabaceae.